GUACUGUCUUUGUGCUAAGGUGCAUCUAGUGCAGAUAGUGAAAUAGACUAGCACCUACUGCCCUAAGUGCUCCUUCUGGCAUAAGGGGCUGUAAUAUG
RNAcentral lists this microRNA precursor (98 nucleotides) under Poecilia reticulata (guppy). RNAcentral describes it as "Danio rerio miR-18a stem-loop (ENSPREG00000021883.1)". The stretch from base 6 to 87 matches the Rfam family "mir-17 microRNA precursor family". From Rfam's summary of the family: This family represents the microRNA (miRNA) precursor mir-17, family, which includes mir-20, mir-91, and mir-103. miRNAs are transcribed as ~70nt precursors (modelled here) and subsequently processed by the Dicer enzyme to give a ~22nt product. In this case the mature sequence comes from the 3' arm of the precursor. The record is from RNAcentral. RNAcentral also lists the same sequence under 5 other names. Lineage: Eukaryota; Metazoa; Chordata; Actinopteri; Cyprinodontiformes; Poeciliidae.